GGGCCGCAUAGGCGGGCAGGUGCGCGAGAUCCACGAUCUCGCCGGCGCCGAUGAUUGCAAUCGGCACCUUGUGCUCGGGGCGCACGCGGAUUUC
This 94-nucleotide transfer RNA is filed under the name compost metagenome. RNAcentral describes it as "tRNA-Val". The record is from RNAcentral.